Molecule: long non-coding RNA, 398 nt
Organism: Patiria miniata (bat star)
Lineage: Eukaryota; Metazoa; Echinodermata; Asteroidea; Valvatida; Asterinidae
Exons: 3
Source: RefSeq, a predicted model, not a curated record
UUAGGAUCCAUAUAAAUACGCUCCAAUUUUCGAACCAGUCAUCCGCUUGAAAACAGCAACAGCGGCGCCGGGUGCCUUCAGUUCACAGCUAUUGCAGCGCUACUCUCGUCAUGUUGACUACGACUUCCUGUGCUAAAGGGCGAACCUGUUGUAAAGACCUCAUCCACUUGACAACAGCAACAGCAGCGGUGGAUGCCUUCAGUUCACAGCUAUUGCAGUGCAACACUCGUCGUGUUGACUUCGACUUCCUUUGCUAAAGGGCGAACCUGUUGUACAGACCAUCAUUAGCAACUACACCAGAGGUGAUUCUGCAUUCCUCCAGAAGCUUCAAAUCAGCACGGGCUUCAGCUUCGUUUCCAGCGCUGCAUGGACAUUUGGGGACGCCAAGUCAACUGUAG